Molecule: non-coding RNA, 67 nt
Organism: Lysinibacillus xylanilyticus
Lineage: Bacteria; Bacillati; Bacillota; Bacilli; Caryophanales; Bacillaceae
Source: Rfam
CAUAGGAGAACGAAGGCUAAAAGCAUCACGUCUUGUGAUAACGCCUUCGUGACCAACAUCCUGUUGG